This 253-nucleotide ribosomal RNA is filed under the name uncultured bacterium. Its description in RNAcentral is "partial 16S ribosomal RNA". It matches the Rfam family "Bacterial small subunit ribosomal RNA", at positions 524 to 776 of the family's 1533-position model. The record is from RNAcentral.
UACGUAGGUGGCAAGCGUUGUUCGGAAUUAUUGGGCGUAAAGGGCGCGUAGGCGGUUUGUUGCGUCGGCUGUGAAAUCCCGAGGCUCAACCUCGGGUCUGCAGUCGAUACGAGCAAACUAGAGUGUUGCAGGGGAGACUGGAAUUCCUGGUGUAGCGGUGAAAUGCGCAGAUAUCAGGAGGAACACCGGUGGCGAAGGCGGGUCUCUGGGCAACAACUGACGCUGAGGAGCGAAAGCGUGGGGAGCGAACAGG